UGAUACAUAUAACUGAAAGGAACCUGAAAUGAUAACACUGUGAAUCAUGUCAAUAUGCUGGUUCUUCUAGCUACUGAUAGGCAUUUCACUGUGAUGACUAGGUGGCUGAGAAGCACUAUGCCUGUGUCAAUGUUUCCUGUUGCUGCAGGAAUUCUGUCCAGUGACUUUCUCAUCACGGCUAUUUCCCCAGCUGCAUUAUUCAAGCAACAGGAAUCUUUCUAGCUUAGAAGGUACAUGAUCAUAAACAUUUUGACAGGAAGCGACCAAUUUUCUGACCUGGAAUAAAAAUCUCUGGACCAAUAUUCUGAUAGUGGCUGCAGGCCUGCCUGUUUUCUUGUCUGUAUCCCCUGCUCCUGGACUCUCAUGCUCACCUCCAAGGGUUUUGCCCCAUGCUUGUGCUGCUGGUGAGUGAUCUGCUACUCAGACUGCACUUUAACUGUUGUAGACCAGACGGUCAAAGAACAAUGAAAACAGGGGAGUGGGAUCUUUUUAAAGUGAGAAUAAAAAAUUUAACGAACUGUUCAGCACAACUUAACUUGCAAUUAUUGAAUUUAGUAUUUGGGAAUCCUGUUGUGCUGCACAAUACUCGACCACUGAAAAAUAGGCAGGCAUUGCUUUAAUGAAUUAUAAAAUGUAGUUCAUAUUGCAUUACUUCUCCUUUUCCUUCCUUUUUUGUAUGUAAAUUAUCUAGAUACUAUUUUUUUUUUGUGUUUCAGUGAGCAUUCAACAUUUCCCUGUAAACAGGAUAUUAUAUUGUUUAUAGCUGUAAUGCUAUUAGAUUUUAGUGAAAUAUUAGCUACAAGUUAGGGGUAGAGGGAACCUCAUUUGAUAUAUAUAUCCCAGGAAUCCGUUUUUAUGGUUUUAUAUAUAAAGAAUCCAAGGGAACCUCAGCAUAACCUCCACAAAGAAAACUCUUAUUGUUAUGUUUCAUCAUUGAGAAAUGUUUAUGGGUCCCAUAAGAUUUCACUCAGAUGUUUAAAUAAUUUGUGUAACCUUUUGGUCAUGUAAUUUAUUUGAUUUAUCUGAAAUGAUUGUAGACAAGAAAUUUCAUCAGCUCUGCUUUGUUCUCUCAUAAAGUAAUGGAAAGAAAGUAGUUCUCAAGUUAUGUUAGACUUAAAAUAAUUGUAAGCAGCUACCACAGAUGCUAUAUAAAUUGUGGGUUUUCUCCUAAUUUCAUCGAUACUGAACGCUUGUCUUAGAUGCCUGGUAAAAUUUAAUUAGA
Molecule: long non-coding RNA, 1222 nt
Organism: Oxyura jamaicensis (ruddy duck)
Lineage: Eukaryota; Metazoa; Chordata; Aves; Anseriformes; Anatidae
Exons: 4
Source: RefSeq, a predicted model, not a curated record